This is a non-coding RNA of Lingula anatina, 96 nucleotides long. Lineage: Eukaryota; Metazoa; Brachiopoda; Lingulata; Lingulida; Lingulidae. The record is from Rfam.
GUUGCAUAUGUGAUGAGAAUCCAUGUAAUAUGGCUACCUAGUGUAAGAUGCACGAUGAUGGUACUUUUUGUUCACCUUGGAGAACUGAUAUGCAAC